This 253-nucleotide ribosomal RNA is filed under the name uncultured bacterium. Its description in RNAcentral is "partial 16S ribosomal RNA". It matches the Rfam family "Bacterial small subunit ribosomal RNA", at positions 524 to 776 of the family's 1533-position model. The record is from RNAcentral.
UACGUAGGGGGCAAGCGUUGUCCGGAAUCAUUGGGCGUAAAGAGCGCGUAGGCGGCCCUGUAAGUCCGCUGUGAAAGUCAAGGGCUCAACCCUUGAAUGCCGGUGGAUACUGCAGGGCUAGAGUCCGGAAGAGGCGAGUGGAAUUCCUGGUGUAGCGGUGAAAUGCGCAGAUAUCAGGAGGAACACCGAUGGCGAAGGCAGCUCGCUGGGACGGUACUGACGCUGAGGAGCGAAAGUGUGGGGAGCGAACAGG